This 440-nucleotide ribosomal RNA is filed under the name uncultured bacterium. RNAcentral describes it as "partial 16S ribosomal RNA". It matches the Rfam family "Bacterial small subunit ribosomal RNA", at positions 338 to 795 of the family's 1533-position model. The record is from RNAcentral.
CCUACGGGUGGCAGCAGUGGGGAAUAUUGCACAAUGGGGGAAACCCUGAUGCAGCGACGCCGCGUGAGUGAAGAAGUAAUUCGUUAUGUAAAGCUCUAUCAGCAGGGACGAAAAUGACGGUACUUGAGUAAGAAGCCGCGGCUAAUUACGUGCCAGCAGCCGCGGGAAUACGUAGGGGGCAAGCGUUAUCCGGAUUUACUGGGUGUAAAGGGAGCGUAGACGGCAGUGCAAGUCUGGAGUGAAAGGCGGGGGCUCAACCCCCGGACUGCUCUGGAAACUGUACGGCUGGAGUGCAGGAGAGGUAAGUGGAAUUCCUAGUGUAGCGGUGAAAUGCGUAGAUAUUAGGAGGAACACCAGUGGCGAAGGCGGCUUACUGGACUGUAACUGACGUUGAGGCUCGAAAGCGUGGGGAGCGAACAGGAUUAGAUACCCGGGUAGUC